UGGGGAAUUUUGGACAAUGGACGAAAGUCUGAUCCGGCCAUGCCGCGUGCGGGAAGAAGGCCUUCGGGUUGUAAACCGCUUUUGUCAGGGAAGAAAUCCUUUGAGCUAAUACCUCGGGGGGAUGACGGUACCCGAAGAAUAAGCACCGGCUAACUACGUGCCAGCAGCCGCGGUAAUACGUAGGGUGCAAGCGUUAAUCGGAAUUACUGGGCGUAAAGCGUGCGCAGGCGGUUAUGUAAGACAGAGGUGAAAUCCCCGGGCUCAACCUGGGAACUGCCUUUGUGACUGCAUAGCUUGAGUGCGGCAGAGGGGGAUGGAAUUCCGCGUGUAGCAGUGAAAUGCGUAGAUAUGCGGAGGAACACCGAUGGCGAAGGCAAUCCCCUGGGCCUGCACUGACGCUCAUGCACGAAAGCGUGGGGAGCAAACAGGAUUAGAUACCCUGGUAGUCCACGCCCUAAACGAUGUCAACUGGUUGUUGGGAAGGUUCCUUCUCAGUAACGUAGCUAACGCGUGAAGUUGACCGCCUGGGGAGUACGGCCGCAAGGUUG
This 548-nucleotide ribosomal RNA is filed under the name uncultured bacterium. Its description in RNAcentral is "bacterial SSU rRNA". It matches the Rfam family "Bacterial small subunit ribosomal RNA", at positions 355 to 896 of the family's 1533-position model. The record is from RNAcentral.